RNAcentral lists this long non-coding RNA (971 nucleotides) under Neogobius melanostomus (round goby). Its description in RNAcentral is "lncRNA (ENSNMLG00000023750.1)". Lineage: Eukaryota; Metazoa; Chordata; Actinopteri; Gobiiformes; Gobiidae. The record is from RNAcentral.
CUUGCAGGUCUUAUUGGUGCUGGAUAUUAUUUCCACUUCCAAAACUCGAGGGUCAAACACGGAGCCAAACCAAUCAAUUCAACGAGAAACGUGCUUCAUCAUGGCAUGACCUUCGUGCUGAUCAGACUACUGUGGACAGCCUUGGUAUGUUUUGCAAAUAACCGGAGUAUUGAGAAUGACAUGAGAUAACAUGGAGGAGAAGUAAAAUACAUGAGCACAAUAUGAGAUCUUGUUUUGCCCCCAUUAGGUUAUGAAUGUUGUGUCCUCAUCUGCGAAAUGCAUAUGGAGAGGGAGGGCUAUGUUCACCACCACUGACUUUGUACAAUAUGUAAAAGAUAGGCUGUUUUGGAGAUGGGCCCGAUCAGUGCACACGGCCAUAACAUGGAGAGAAAAGUGAGAAAGAAUAAAGUAUUUUGAUACAUUUUAUACUUGUUUUUUUCCUCUUAAAUUUCUUUUUCAGACGUAUUACUUUGAGCAGUUUGAAAGUGUAUUAGACGAACUGCUGCUUAGGCUUGAUGCAAUUACUAACCAAACACUGCCCUCUGAAGUCUAUCGCUAUGAACAGGACAGUCCCAUCUCAUCGAAGCAGGAAAACUCAAAAACAGACACACUGGAUUAUCCAGAGACCAGUAUGCAGGAACCACUGGCCUACUUUCAUUCAGAAGUGUCUGAUCUUCAGUCAAAAGAACAAACAAGACGCAAAUAUCAAAAGGAUUAUGCUGCUCCAUAAAGUACAUAAGGAUGGAACUAAAUGUGAUAAAAACCCAGCAGAAAGGCAAGUGGGAAAAUCAAAGGGACAAUGCACUCUGGCAUCACUCCAGCCCGUGUCUGCAGAGGAGGUUGUGGAAGUGCUGAUCCAUGAAGAACAAGACACAGAUCUUUAGCACAAUGUUAAAGGCAAUAACUUCAUAAAUCAAUAAAACUAUUUAGUGUCCAUCACUUGUUUUUUGUUGUUGUUUUUUUCAAAUCUG